AGCUCCAAUAGCGUAUAUUAAAGUUGUUGCAGUUAAAAAGCUCGUAGUUGGAUUUCGGGGCGGCCUGGCUGGUCCGUCGCAAGACGAGCACUGGUCAGCCGCCCUUCCUCUCGAAAGCCCCGACUGCUCUUCACUGCAGUGGUCGGGGAGUUCGGGACGUUUACUUUGAAAAAAUUAGAGUGUUCAAGGCAGGCUCGCGCCUGAAUACAUUAGCAUGGAAUAAUGGAAGAGGACCUCGGUCCUAUUUUGUUGGUUUCUGGGGCCGAAGUAAUGAUUAAGAGGGACAGUUGGGGGCAUUCGUAUUUAAUUGUCAGAGGUGAAAUUCUCGGAUUUAUGAAAGACGAACAACUGCGAAAGCAUUUGCCAAGGAUGUUUUCAUUAAUCAAGAACGAAAGUACGC
This 400-nucleotide ribosomal RNA is filed under the name phytoplankton environmental sample. RNAcentral describes it as "partial small subunit ribosomal RNA". It matches the Rfam family "Eukaryotic small subunit ribosomal RNA", at positions 587 to 994 of the family's 1831-position model. The record is from RNAcentral.